Cyanistes caeruleus (blue tit) is the source of this 1034-nucleotide long non-coding RNA. Ensembl annotates it as alpha-1-acid glycoprotein-like. The record is from Ensembl. NCBI's taxonomy places the organism in Eukaryota, Metazoa, Chordata, Aves, Passeriformes, Paridae.
CCUGGAUUGGGGUGGGGGGGUCUGCAGCCAAAGCAGCACUGGGAGGGUCGCAGGUCUCAUUAGCAGAGCAAGAGGUGCCUACGGCAGCUGCUCACAGGGGGGAAAUGGGCACUUUUCGGGCAGAUUUAAGUAUUAAAUACAGUAAGUACAUCCCUAACAGCCCACUCCUGCCAACACUUGCCAUAGCAGCCACAUCCGAGGCCGGGGCAAGUGCCAAGCACGCGGCUCUUGGCUGGGCAUCGCCCCCGAGAGGCACCGAUUGCGACACGGGCGCAGAUCCGGCAGCCCUGGGGACAUCCUGUCCCCUCCCAGCAGAGCUGCAGGAGCCAGGAGAGGCCGUGUGUGCAGGGCUGUGCUCGGACAGCCAUGGCCCGUGCCGGCNNNNNNNNNNNNNNNNNNNNCUGAGCCUCGCCCUGCUGGCCGCGGAUGCUGCGCCCUGCGGAGCCCAGCGCCCCGACAGCUCCACGGCAUCCAAGCUGCUGGGGACGUGGCUGUACCUGGCAGGGGCUGCCCAGUUCCCCCAGCACCAAGUGGAGAUGCUGCUCAUCGAUCACGCCUUCCUGCGCUUGGAGCCCGGUGCCAGCGGGCAGCAGCUGCUCAUCAGCCACUACGUGGCCGUGGGGGACCAAUGUUUUACCAACAACCUCACCUACCUGGAAGUCAGUGUCGGUAACGCCACGCUGGUGAAGGACGCCAAGACCCAGCAAACUGAGGGGAUGCUGAUGAACAUGAGCUCUGAAAACCUUUUACUCAUCCAGUACCAAAUGCAGAAGGACAGGACGUAUUUGGGGCAGUAUCUCUAUGCCCGGAAUCUGAGCAUAAGCACAGCAGACCAGGAGGAAUUUGAGCACCACGUGGAGUGCCUGGGGCUGAGGGCAGAGCAGAUCGUGUACGCGCCUUGGAAAACGGUACUGGGCACUCUGUGUCACCAAAACCACCACAGCCCCCUCCAGGCAGGGCUGCAAGACCCCAGGCUGCACCUCCAGCUGCCAAACUGGGGUCUUGGAGACAUGUUUUCAAGGUGUUGGAAAUGA